Molecule: ribosomal RNA, 497 nt
Filed under: uncultured bacterium
Lineage: Bacteria
Description: partial 16S ribosomal RNA
Rfam family: Bacterial small subunit ribosomal RNA
Source: RNAcentral
GAUGAACGCUGGCGGCGUGCCUAAUACAUGCAAGUCGAGCGAACGGACGAGAAGCUUGCUUCUCUGAUGUUAGCGGCGGACGGGUGAGUAACACGUGGAUAACCUACCUAUAAGACUGGCAUCACUUCGGAAAACCGGAGCUAAUACCGGAUAAUAUUUUGAACCGCAUGGUUCAAAAGUGAAAGACGGUCUUGCUGUCACUUAUAGAUGGAUCCGCGCUGCAUUAGCUAGUUGGUAAGGUAACGUCUUACCAAGGCAACGAUGCAUAGCCGACCUGAGAGGGUGAUCGGCCACACUGGAACUGAGACACGGUCCAGACUCCUACGGGAGGCAGCAGUAGGGAAUCUUCCGCAAUGGGCGAAAGCCUGACGGAGCAACGCCGCGUGAGUGAUGAAGGUCUUCGGAUCGUAAAACUCUGAUAUUAGGGAAGAACAUAUGUGUAAGUAACUGUGCACAUCUUGACGGUACCUAAUCAGAAAGCCACGGCUAACUACGUG